Podarcis lilfordi (Lilford's wall lizard) is the source of this 69-nucleotide non-coding RNA. NCBI's taxonomy places the organism in Eukaryota, Metazoa, Chordata, Lepidosauria, Squamata, Lacertidae. The record is from the annotation of a GenBank genome assembly.
GUUUAGCUCAGUCGGUAGAGCAUGAGACUCUUAAUCUCAGGGCCAUGGUUUUGAGCCCCAUGUUAGGCA